RNAcentral lists this ribosomal RNA (1412 nucleotides) under Lactiplantibacillus plantarum. Its description in RNAcentral is "bacterial SSU rRNA". It matches the Rfam family "Bacterial small subunit ribosomal RNA", at positions 59 to 1437 of the family's 1533-position model. The record is from RNAcentral. Lineage: Bacteria; Bacillati; Bacillota; Bacilli; Lactobacillales; Lactobacillaceae.
AAGUCGAACGAACUCUGGUAUUGAUUGGUGCUUGCAUCAUGAUUUACAUUUGAGUGAGUGGCGAACUGGUGAGUAACACGUGGGAAACCUGCCCAGAAGCGGGGGAUAACACCUGGAAACAGAUGCUAAUACCGCAUAACAACUUGGACCGCAUGGUCCGAGUUUGAAAGAUGGCUUCGGCUAUCACUUUUGGAUGGUCCCGCGGCGUAUUAGCUAGAUGGUGGGGUAACGGCUCACCAUGGCAAUGAUACGUAGCCGACCUGAGAGGGUAAUCGGCCACAUUGGGACUGAGACACGGCCCAAACUCCUACGGGAGGCAGCAGUAGGGAAUCUUCCACAAUGGACGAAAGUCUGAUGGAGCAACGCCGCGUGAGUGAAGAAGGGUUUCGGCUCGUAAAACUCUGUUGUUAAAGAAGAACAUAUCUGAGAGUAACUGUUCAGGUAUUGACGGUAUUUAACCAGAAAGCCACGGCUAACUACGUGCCAGCAGCCGCGGUAAUACGUAGGUGGCAAGCGUUGUCCGGAUUUAUUGGGCGUAAAGCGAGCGCAGGCGGUUUUUUAAGUCUGAUGUGAAAGCCUUCGGCUCAACCGAAGAAGUGCAUCGGAAACUGGGAAACUUGAGUGCAGAAGAGGACAGUGGAACUCCAUGUGUAGCGGUGAAAUGCGUAGAUAUAUGGAAGAACACCAGUGGCGAAGGCGGCUGUCUGGUCUGUAACUGACGCUGAGGCUCGAAAGUAUGGGUAGCAAACAGGAUUAGAUACCCUGGUAGUCCAUACCGUAAACGAUGAAUGCUAAGUGUUGGAGGGUUUCCGCCCUUCAGUGCUGCAGCUAACGCAUUAAGCAUUCCGCCUGGGGAGUACGGCCGCAAGGCUGAAACUCAAAGGAAUUGACGGGGGCCCGCACAAGCGGUGGAGCAUGUGGUUUAAUUCGAAGCUACGCGAAGAACCUUACCAGGUCUUGACAUACUAUGCAAAUCUAAGAGAUUAGACGUUCCCUUCGGGGACAUGGAUACAGGUGGUGCAUGGUUGUCGUCAGCUCGUGUCGUGAGAUGUUGGGUUAAGUCCCGCAACGAGCGCAACCCUUAUUAUCAGUUGCCAGCAUUAAGUUGGGCACUCUGGUGAGACUGCCGGUGACAAACCGGAGGAAGGUGGGGAUGACGUCAAAUCAUCAUGCCCCUUAUGACCUGGGCUACACACGUGCUACAAUGGAUGGUACAACGAGUUGCGAACUCGCGAGAGUAAGCUAAUCUCUUAAAGCCAUUCUCAGUUCGGAUUGUAGGCUGCAACUCGCCUACAUGAAGUCGGAAUCGCUAGUAAUCGCGGAUCAGCAUGCCGCGGUGAAUACGUUCCCGGGCCUUGUACACACCGCCCGUCACACCAUGAGAGUUUGUAACACCCAAAGUCGGUGGGGUA